This 145-nucleotide unclassified non-coding RNA is filed under the name soil metagenome. RNAcentral describes it as "partial internal transcribed spacer 1". The record is from RNAcentral.
UAAUAAGUGUUUUAUGGCACUUUUUAAAUCCAUAUCCACCUUGUGUGCAAUGUCAGUCGAUCUUCUUUAUGGAGAUCGACCAAACAUCAACCUUUAUCUUUUAACUCUUUGUCUGAAAAAUAUUAUGAAUAAACAAUUCGAAAUA